UCCCUGGUGGCCAAGUGGUUAGGACUGUGAGCUUUCACUGCCAUGGCCCAGGUUCAAUUCCUGGUCAGGGAA
This is a non-coding RNA of Bos taurus (domestic cattle), 72 nucleotides long. NCBI's taxonomy places the organism in Eukaryota, Metazoa, Chordata, Mammalia, Artiodactyla, Bovidae. The record is from Rfam.